ACUCAGUUUGCUGAUCCCUUGGGCCGGCUCUGACAGUAAUCUGUAGUUAUAAGCGUUGGUAAAUAAAUUAGAUGGAAAGUGACUUAAAGGUAGAUUUAAUUACAUCUUGUUGGUACUAGCACUCCCUUCAUCCAGCCUCCUUUUCCCGGCAGGAGGAGCGCUUCUCUCUGGAUCAUCCUCUGCACUGUCUGGAUGGCUGCGCACGACCCCGCCCGCUCCCGUGACGCAGCGCAUCUCUUUACGCGCAGAUGCUGGAGUCGAAGCGACAGGCGCGCACAUCUCUUAGGGGCUGAGCGCAUCCACUACCGGACACGGUAGAGGGAAGAUCAGCCGGUGUGCAUCCGACAGGGACCCCCCGGACCGCGGGGUAGGAUGCUCAGAACGAGUCGCUCCGUGGGCAGCAGUACUUGAAGAGCUGCGGUCCAUCCACUGGAGCGCUUUAAGACUGAUCUCGAAUCAAUUCCUUUUUAAGAAACGCCACCGUCCAGUUUAGUAUCUAGAACCUUGAGGGUAGAUCGGGGUUUGGCUUGGACACGAUGUGGAAGUCCGGGACACUACUGCUACUGUCGGUGCUGUGGGCGUCCGGUGAACUCCAGCAGGAGACAGAGCCGCGGAGACUACCACCUCCGGGAAAGUUGGAUUUUGGUUAUGUGCCUGCGGGAGUUUACGAGACACUGGCCCAUUACGAACCCGGACCCAUAGGGAUCCUCUUCCACUUGGUGCACGCUUUUCUGCAUGCGGUGCAACCCAACGCUUUCCCCCACGAUCUUAUUGUGAAGCUGGCAAAGGACAAGUUUGGAGCCAUUCAAACAGAAUAUCAAAAGCCAGAGAACAUAGUGCUGACCCUGCAGGCCAUCUACUAUGAGAUAGGCUUCCUCAUAUGUGCGGCGGUGGGCCUGCUCUUCGCCGUCCUCAUGCCGGUUGUGGGGCUCUUCUUCUGCAUGUGCCGCUGCUGCGACAACUGCGGCGGUGAGAUGCACCAACGCCAGAGGAAGAACGCGGACUGCCGGCGCGGCCUGCUGGGAACGUUACUCUUCUCCACCUCGCUGGUUAUCACGAUUGGAGUUCUGUGUGCGUAUGCAGCCAACCAGAACCUGAGCUCUCAGGUGAAGAACAUACGCCGGCUGGUUAACAGCAACAUGAGGGACCUGCACACCUUUGCUAAUGACACACCGAUGCAAAUUGAUUACCUAAUAUCCCAAUACGCCACCGUCAAGAACAAAGUCAACUAUGACCUAGAUAACAUAGGUCCGUUACUCGGGGGAAGGAUCCAUGUACGGUUGGAUAAAGAAGUCCAUCCUGCUUUAAACCAAGUGCUUAAUAUGGCUGGAGUGAAAAUCCAGAGAGCCAUCAAAGCCAUGAGGGAAACCAAGGAGGCCCUGGAGAACGUCAGCGUGUCUCUGGUGGUCUUACAGGAAGGAGCCGGAAAACUUCAUUUCAACUUGAGCCAAGUCCGCGACAGCAUCAACCGCACCCUUGAUGACCCCGGCUGCCAUGACGAGGAAUCGGACGCCACCACGGCCCAGCUUUGCCGCAGCAUCCGCCAGUCCCUGUCCCAGCUGCAGAUGAGUGCAAACUUCACCCGGCUUCCUAAUGUGAACCCUCAGCUGGAAAAGAUGAAAAAUGUAGUGAAAACAGAUCUCAGCUCUGUCGUCCACAGGGGUUUUUCCUCUUUGAAUGACACACCGCACAUUGUGAUUGAACAGACAAGAACCGUCGUCAACAGUGUCCAGAAUUUAGUGGACAGUGUCGGCAACAACAUCAGCAGCUUCUCCAGAGCUUUCCCAUUGCAGACCUGCUUGUCUAACUUCACCAUCUUCAUCAGCCAUGCACACGCCAAAAUCGAAGACUACUAUCCUGAAAUUGACAAAAUGGACUUCUACAGAUGGAUCGGCUGCAUCGCUCUGUGCUGCAUGGUGGUUCUGGUCUUGGCCUUUAACUACUUGGGCCUUCUGUGCGGCACCCUGGGAUACGACAAGCAUGCCUCACCGACGACCCGAGGAUGUAUCUCCAAUACAGGAGGAACACUGCUGAUGGCCGGUGUUGGAUUCAGCUUCAUUUUCUCCUGGAUGCUUAUGGGAGUGUUGACCACCAUCUUUCUGGCAGGAGGAAACAUGGAGAAACUUCUCUGUGAGCCAUUUCACACCAAAGAACUCUUCAAGGUCGUUGACACCCCAUACUUGAUCAACCCAGAGUGGAAGAAUUUCAUCCCAGGCUACAUGUACAAUGACUCUGAAUUGGAGCUGACAUCGGAAAGCUUGUACAGUACUUGCAAACAGAACAAAGGCAUCUACUCUGCCCUGCGUCUGGAUAAAGUCUUCAACAUCUCCUCGUUCCUGAACACCACAGUGUUCACUAAGGAUGUUGUGCGUCAGCUGGAGAACUUUCGGAUUGACCUGAGAACGAUAAUCCUGUUGGAGGCAGAGGGGAAGCAGAACCUCCUAGAUUUCUCUGAAGCUGGCCUUUCAGAGAUCAACUACGCCGACUACCUUGACGAGGUGAAUAAAGGAGUCACUGUGGUGGAUGUUCUCUCAUUCGCCAAAGAGCUGGAGUCCCAGACAGACCUGAUGCCUAGGGGACCUCUGCAGACAGCUCUGAAAGGCCAUGUGGCCACUCUGCAGCGGAUCCACAGACAACAGAUCGCUCCAAUGGAGCAGGCCAUGAAAUAUGUUAGAGCAAGGAGUGCAUUGAACCAGAGUAUGAGAUUCCUGGAGAGGACAGCUUCUGACCUCCCGAACAAAGUCACAGAUGUUCUUGAGGCCAUUGCAGCUGCUCAGCACCUCAUCUCCCAGAAUGCAACACUUUUAAUCAGUCAGGAAACAAGAAAAUACUCAGCAACCAUUAUUGGCUAUUUCAAUCAGUACAUAGAAUGGGUCAAAACAUCAUUGGCUUUGGAGGUUGCACCAUGCAAGCCCUUCAGCAACAUCUUGGAUACGGCGCAGAUCAUGACCUGCAGUUUCCUGGGGGAUUCUAUGAACACUUUCUGGAUGGGUCUGGGCUGCAGCACACUAUUCCUGCUCCCAAGCGUAAUACUAGCUGUGAAACUAGCCAAGUACUACCGCAGGAUGGACACAGAGGAUGUUUAUGAUGACUCCUCUGUUUCUGGGACUUGGCAUUUUACUUUGUGAUAACCAUUCCUACUAUUUCCAUCUUCCAUAUUUUUUAUUUUAUUUCUUCAUUCUUCUUUGUCAAGCACUUGGCACUUUACAAAGAAAAGACACUGAUAAAUUAGUCAAUUCUUUUUUCUUCCUCAUGGGCCUUUGUCAUGCUCAGAUUCUGUGGACUCAUGGCUUUAUCUACAGUAGUUGUAAUUGUAAUAUCUCAGCUGAUCAACUGCAUCUCCCUCUGUGCAAUCCCUGCUGGGUUGCACAGAAGGAUUCAUGAUGCAUUUCUUUUGCUGACCAUCUCAAUAACAUUUUUAUGUUCCUGUUUUCUGUGUAUCUCCAUAGCGUUGAGACAAUUCCCAUGAAAAAGUAAGACGCUCUUCCCCAACCUCCUUUUCAUUUUAACUUCUCUCACUCUGUGCUUUUUUUUCCAAGUAAUGUAUAUAGAAAGCUGUUUACUAAAUUCUUGGUGCUCGUUUGCAUUUUUGAGCUUCAAAAUUGCUCAUGUGGGUGGACAAUGUGGCUUUUUGUCAUGUGCUAUGUUUAAGAAGUGCCCCUUACAGUACCUUUCAUGAAGGGCUCAUGCAAUCAUUAAAGUGUUUUUUGUAAAAAAAAAAAAUAAAUAAAAUAAAUAAAUGUGUAAAUAAAACACUAAGGUUUAUACUCGGAACAUAUUCAUCUCCUGAUAUCGUUUAAAGAUUUAACCACAUAUAAAAGAAACAUUUUUAUUCAGCAUGUCGCGUUUCUCAUUUUUCAUUCCAUUUUUGUUCUCAAUGUUUUAUUUUCAGUAUGGAAAUUGUUAAUAAUGGUUAUCAUAGUGAGAGUUCACAAGGUAUUCCUAAUCCUAUGAUGACAAGGUAAACUUUCCCUUUAUCCUGCUGACUGCAUGCAUGGUGGAGGUGGAUGCAUGCCUGGGAAGUUGGUUUUAUAUAUAGUAUGGCUGAACACAUUGCAUGCUCACUGAGGGAGUCAUUUCAAGACACACACACGCAUAAGUGUGUGUGAUAUGGUAGCAAAUCUUUAAACUGGCAAGUAGUGGUAGCUUUUAUUAGAAACAAUCCGGAAUCAACGUUUUGGUACUUAUGAUAAAAAAUGCUUUAAAAUGAAUUUCAGCAGUGGUUUAGCAUUUGGUGUUUGUUGUUGAGCAUCAGAUCGUAGCCCUACUGUUUUCUUUGAGGCUGAGAUAUGGAGCGGAAUAAAGAUCGAUUUGGGUUAAUCAACUUGAAGACUGGGGAUUAUUGGAAAACAAAUACUAAUAAAGGUUUGUCAUAGAGAGUAUCUAAAGCUAAUACGCAUAACUCACAAUCAACAUUUUAAAUAUCACAACUUAAAGGAACGUAGUUGCAAUUUAUAUUUACUUAAAAUACUUGCUUAUCUGCAGGUGAGUGUUAGAAAAAUAAGAGCUGGAACAUCUUGAUGGAGAAAAAGAAGGAGCACAUACCUAUAACUAUAAACAAUAAAACUAAACCCUCACUUAAACUCUCUUUCAUCAAAGAGAAAUUAGGGUUUCAAAUCCCAAUAAUCAGUCUGAUCUUCCACCUUCUAACAAUCAUAGGAGCCUUGAGGCUGAUGAAUCUCUCUGCUACCACUACUUCACUGUCAUGUUGUAAAUGUUUUGCUUGGUGGUUUUGAGGGAAUCUACCGUAUUACUAACCAACUGCUUUCUUUCUGACGCUGGGAAAUUCCUGUGGAAUGAAAUGAAAUCUUCUCCUGUUUCCUCUCGUUUAGUGUCGGCCAAAGUCCGAUGAAUGUACACCUGAUCAUUUUGUUCAGAGAGAGGCAAGCAUGCUGAGCUUUAGUGUGUCCCUGGAUAUGUUGCUACUUUUGAUUUUCUUUUCUGAAUCUAACCAGAUGCUUAACUGCGUGUUUUAUCUCUUUAAGUUGCAUUUGGACGCAGAUGAGUUUGCAUCUUGAACCAACAAGAUAAACACAGAGAGUAAAACAUCUAAAUGAGGAGUUGCUCUGCUCUGACUUGUUGCAGUUUGAAAAAAUAGGAGUUUGAUUUCCAGUUUGAACUUGCAAAAUUAAUACGACUUUUUAUUAAACCUUAUCUUUCUAUUUGAGUUGCAUUAAGCUUUUGGAAUGUAUUACAUAAUUUAAAACCUGUUCUAAUUGAUCAACACUAAACUACUCUGUUUGCACAGUAAGAUACUCAGAUAAUGUUUUGCUCUCUGUUGUAAGAACUGCUCACCCUUCUCCUCUUGGAUGUAAAAAUGUUGAGUCUGUCUGGUAACGUUUUUCCCUGUGUGUGCGUGUUUGUUCCUGUGAUGGUAGCAUCCCAACAUAUGACACAAUGAACAGGUUUCCACGGGCCUCGGCUCCUCCGAGGCACAUCGACUGGUGAGAGUCAGCUCUGGCUUGGCUCCUGAAAGGUACUGGUAACACAAAACGACGACUCUGACUCUCUAACACCGAUUUCCUCACACCUCUCCUCACAGCUGUCCUGCUGAGUCAGCGAUCAUCUCUUUUAAAUCUUAUACUGCUAAUGUGCUAACACUCUUAACACCUGUUCACAGCUUGUUUUAGUGCUUUUUCUGCUUGCUGAAAAACCAACAUGGUGAGAAUGACUAAAUUUACUGUAGAUGCUCGUGACUCUCAGUGUUUUAGAGAGAAGAAACCUUCAAUUUAUAUUUAGGAUAGUAUCAUUCAGUUUUAAAAAUGUUCUCUAACGUGUCUACUAGCCUCUUGUGAGUGGUUGUGUUCAGUUAGCUCGUGAGAGAAGUGAAACCCUUUUAUGUGUAGUUAUCUCCUCCUUACAGCACCCUCCACAUUGAAUAAAACCACUGGAAAAGUUGUGUAAUGCCUUAAAAAAUAGUAUUUUAUUGUAGUAUGUCUUACAGCAGCAUCAUCUCACAAUGACAAUAAAAUAAAUAAAUAAAAUAAAAAAUCCAACCUUUAAAUUGAGCACAUUUAGUCAGAAAGGAAUGCUGCAGCAUUGUUGUUUUGUUUUAGAUUAUUGCAACAUGUCUUCAGAAGGGAAAACAAUGUAUUAGUUUCCACUGGUGUUGAAAGAAUUAUUUGGUGAAAUUAAGAUUUGACUAUUUCUGAAUUUUGUGAAGAUCUCUGCAGUCUCAGAAUGACUGCAGGCCUACAUUACACAUUUUCUUUAGAAUAUAAGAAACUGCAAUAAAAACUUAACUUAUUUUGGGGAUAUUUAUGUUGUGAAAUAUUUUCUUGCAUUGUGAUAUCUAAAGUGUCUUUCUCUGCUCUUUGCCCUUGUAGUGCCCUUGACAACUGGAACUAAACGUCAUGCUCACUUGAGGAAUCUCAACAUGGUUUCUUCACUUCAAAAGAAGAACACGGGACGUCCUGCUUGUUCAAUGAUGCAGAUCAAAUCCUCCAGUUUGGUUUCUGCCGGCAGGACGCCAACCUCAUCAGUCCUCAGCAUUAAUCUGAGCCAGGUUUCAUCUACAUUUUCCAGGACUGCUGUGUCUGUGUUUACAUUAGUUUGGACACAAAACCAAGCUGAAAAAGCCCUUGAGAGGACAUAACAUUGACUGUUGUGUUUGCUCAUUUUUAUGAACUUUGUGCUCGAGAAAAGAGAAGCUGGAGAAAGUUAUAUUUUCUUCCUACAGUUAAAAAGGGUGUUGUACUUUCAAAGUGAGUGUCAAAAGGCAGGUUUCAUAAAGAUCUGAUUGUUUUGUUGAAAAAAUACAUCCUUUUUAACUGAGCUCUUGGAUGUGUGAUAUUUUACCUGUUGAGAAAAUUCUUGUGUGAACAGUGGCGUAACGACUUGUGGAGAGAAUUUGUAAGAAAACGAAGCAUGACUUUUUUUUUUUUUAAAGCUGUUUACAAUAUUUCCAGACAUGUUGGUUUUGCAGAGUUUAGGUGGCUAUGGGUCAAUUUCCCUCUUUGACAAUUCAUAACCUCAUUCAAAUGUUGCCAUUUUGUCCCCAAAUUCUUCAGUUUCUUACCUGUAAAACACACUACUUGUAUCCUUUUGUUCAAAUCUCAGGAAUAGUUCAAUAACAAAGAUAAAAUUUUAUUUCUUAAAAAAAUUAUAUUGUACCCUUUUUUCAUUGGUUUUGACUCUGAUAUCUGUUUGGACCUGUCCCAUUGGAGUCACAUGGCAAAAAAGUUUUGUACAGUAGAAGCAAAAUACCAAAAAUGACUUUAGCUCAACGGUAAAAUUAGAUAUGAAAUGCCCUCUGACUGAAGUUUGGUAUGCAACUUCCAAUGACAGAUGUUGCAUACCAACAGUUGUUGUUGUUGUUGGCAUGCAGCAACUAUUCAGCGUGAAAAAGGCAACACUGGAAAAGUAUGAAAUGGCAAAGGGGCAACGUGACCCAUCGGUAUGUGAGAAACACUGAAGAGGUCUGUCUGCCUUUGAGAUGUUUUACCAUGACGACGUUACAGUUACAAAAGGCCAUAUCACUAUGUUAAAUAUAAACAAUCUAGGAGCUGACCUCAUUAAAAUGUCCUUCCUGUACCAUUUAAACUUGUGUCAGGUGUUAACAUUUAGCAUUUAUUUGUAAUUCAGAUUGGUACGUUGUUCUAAAUCGCUACUUCUAUUUGGAGUUUUAAAUACCAAAUCAGAAUCAUUUUGAAUAGUGGGUUUAGAAAAAAAAACACUAAUUCUUGAACCAAGGGUUGUUAUGGUAAGAAAGGCCCACCACAACCACACUGUAACACCAAAUGACAAAUUCUUACCAAAUGCAUAGCAGAUGUGUUUUGGUUGAACUAUCAGUUUAAAUAAUACAGUACAGUUGGAGAAUAAUAGUAAAAACAACACCUACUUCUAUUUCCUCUAUAUACCACAUGCAUUUAUUUUCAGGUCUUUCCUGCUUUAUGGUCCUCAUAAUUUUAAAGUGGAAAGUUAAUUCUCAAGCCAAAUCCCAUAUUUUGAAAUAGUCUUUCUGUGGCACACUUUUUGCCCUUUGCCUGCAUUUUCAGUUAAACGGUACUUCUGGUUACAUGGAACUUUUUAAUGUGUUCAUUCAGUAAUUGUUAUAUGUAGAGGUUGAGUGAUAAAUAUGCUGAUAUUGUUACAUCAGGGAGGCCAAUCAACAUAUCCUAUAUCUCAUAUUUCUAUACAGAUGCUUUCUCCAGUGAGAGCUUAGACAAUCCAUUCAUGGCACCAUCAAUCAGAUUGUUGAAAAGAAGUAUUUUUUAUGGUUUGCACACAUCUGGUUUAUGUGAACUGUGAAAAAAAGCAAUACCUGCCUUAGCAUAAACAUUUACCAGGUAAUAGAUUAUAUAAUGUGCAUAUAUGAAGACUAACAAAAGUCAGUUUUUAUGUGAAUCAAAAAAAAUCAGAUUUUUUUUUUUUACUGGUAUAAACUGGUCUAAAUUUAAUACUUUAUCCAUAAUUUUUAUAUUACAUUUGUUUUAUACUUCAACAAAUCCAUUUUAGAUCCAAGUUUGCCAUUGUUUUUAAAAGAGAAAGCCCAUGGGCUUGAAUCAAAACAAACAAAAACAAUGUGUCAGUUCAGAAGUUGCUAAAGUGAAUGCUAACAUUUAAGAACUUUUAAUUAGGUUAUCAUAACAAGGAUUAAAAAUUAACCCAUUUUUGUAGAUUUUUGUGCACAUAUGACUUCUAUAAAGCCAAUAACUGUAAUUUGCAGUAGAAGUACUGAAAAUAUUUGCCAACGGUUUACAAGUUAUGCUCUGCUAGACUGACUUUACAAACUAUUUUCAUUAAUUUUAUUUCUCCAAAGGAAACACUGACUGCCAUGUUAAGAUGUCCCAGCUGUGCUUUUCCACAAUGUGAACUUAUUGGCUCUGUCUCUUCUCAGCGCUCUUUUUUGCUUGCUUCAUUUUCAAACUUAGUUUUCCUCAAGGUGGACAUUUUUAGAUGAUCAGUGUGCUCAUGCUGACUAUCACAGUUUUACUCCUUGCUGGAGUCUGGUAAUGCAUUUAUGGGGACAAAUUCACAACUUAAGUGCUUAAACUAGUUAUAUAUGGUAGCUUUGGGUUGAUCAGAUGAAUGGUUUGAAAUGUGAUGCUGAACAGUUGGGCGAUGAUGGAUCCAGGAAGAUGCUUGUUUUUUAUGUGGAUAUGACAAAAGUGUAUAAAUUGUGAAUAAACUCUCCAUUUCAAGUUA
RNA transcript from Poecilia reticulata (guppy), 9147 nucleotides. It is a transcript of the gene named prominin 1a, with no coding region annotated. The record is from RefSeq and is a predicted model, not a curated record. Lineage: Eukaryota; Metazoa; Chordata; Actinopteri; Cyprinodontiformes; Poeciliidae.